Molecule: ribosomal RNA, 406 nt
Filed under: uncultured bacterium
Lineage: Bacteria
Description: partial 16S ribosomal RNA
Rfam family: Bacterial small subunit ribosomal RNA
Source: RNAcentral
AUUGAACGCUGGCGGCAGGCUUAACACAUGCAAGUCGAGCGAGCGGCGGACGGGUGAGUAAUGUCUGAGACACUGCCUGAUGGAGGGGGAUAACUACUGGAAACGGUAGCUAAUACCGCAUACCAUCAAAUGUUCCCAGAUGGGAUUAGCUAGUAGGUGGGGUAAUGGCUCACCUAGGCGACGAUCCCUAGCUGGUCUGAGAGGAUGACCAGCCACACUGGAACUGAGACACGGUCCAGACUCCUACGGGAGGCAGCAGUGGGGAAUAUUGCACAAUGGGCGCAAGCCUGAUGCAGCCAUGCCGCGUGUGUGAAGAAGGCCUUCGGGUUGUAAAGCACUUUCAGCGAGGAGGCGUUACUGGCAGAAGAAGCACCGGCUAACUCCGUGCCAGCAGCCGCGGUAAUUC